GAUGAACGCUGGCGGCGUGCCUAAUACAUGCAAGUCGAGCGAACGGACGAGAAGCUUGCUUCUCUGAUGUUAGCGGCGGACGGGUGAGUAACACGUGGAUAACCUACCUAUAAGACUGGGAUAACUUCGGGAAACCGGAGCUAAUACCGGAUAAUAUUUUGAACCGCAUGGUUCAAAAGUGAAAGACGGUCUUGCUGUCACUUAUAGAUGGAUCCGCGCUGCAUUAGCUAGUUGGUAAGGUAACGGCUUACCAAGGCAACGAUGCAUAGCCGACCUGAGAGGGUGAUCGGCCACACUGGAACUGAGACACGGUCCAGACUCCUACGGGAGGCAGCAGUAGGGAAUCUUCCGCAAUGGGCGAAAGCCUGACGGAGCAACGCCGCGUGAGUGAUGAAGGUCUUCGGAUCGUAAACUCUGUUAUUAGGGAAGAACAUAUGCGUAAGUAACUGUGCACAUCUUGACGGUACCUAAUCAGAAAGCCACGGCUAACUACGUG
Molecule: ribosomal RNA, 496 nt
Filed under: uncultured bacterium
Lineage: Bacteria
Description: partial 16S ribosomal RNA
Rfam family: Bacterial small subunit ribosomal RNA
Source: RNAcentral